UACGAAGGGGCUAGCGUUGCUCGGAAUCACUGGGCGUAAAGGGUGCGUAGGCGGGUCUUUAAGUCAGGGGUGAAAUCCUGGAGCUCAACUCCAGAACUCGCCCUUGAUACUGAGGAUCUUGAGUUCGGGAGAGUGAGUGGAACUGCGAGUGUAGAGGUGAAAUUCGUAGAUAUUCGCAAGAACACCAGUGGCGAAGGCGGCUCACUGGCCCGAUACUGACGCUGA
Molecule: ribosomal RNA, 225 nt
Filed under: uncultured bacterium
Lineage: Bacteria
Description: partial 16S ribosomal RNA
Rfam family: Bacterial small subunit ribosomal RNA
Source: RNAcentral